UGCUAAGACUGGAUAGGAAGAAAUAAGGCAUCUUAUUUCUUUUAAAAGACCUAGUAAUAGGUAUACUUUAGGAGGGGCUUGCGCCAUAUUAGUUAGUUGGUAGGGUAAUGGCCUACCAAGACGAUGAUGUGUAGCUGGACUGAGAGGUUGAACAGCCACAUUGGGACUGAGACACGGCCCAAACUCCUACGGGAGGCAGCAGUAAGGAAUUUUCGGCAAUGGAGGAAACUCUGACCGAGCAACGCCGCGUGAACGACGAAGUACUUUGGUAUGUAAAGUUCUUUUAUCAAGGAAGAAAAGCAAGUGGCGAACCAUUUGUUUGCCGGUACUUGAUGAAUAAGCCCCGGCUAAUUAUGUGCCAGCAGCCGCGGUAAGACAUAAGGGGCAAGUGUUAUCCGGAAUUAUUGGGCGUAAAGGGUGCGUAGGCGGUCUAGUAAGUCAGUGGUGUAAUGGCAACGCUCAACGUUGUCCGGCUAUUGAAACUGCUAAACUUGAGUUAGAUAGAGGCGAGUGGAAUUCCAUGUGUAGCGGUAAAAUGCGUAAAUAUAUGGAGGAACACCAGAGGCGUAGGCGGCUCGCUGGGUCUUAACUGACGCUGAGGCACGAAAGCGUGGGGAGCAAACAGGAUUAGAUACCCUGGUAGUCCACGCCGUAAACGAUGAGUACUAAGUGUCGGGUUAAACCGGUACUGAAGUUAACACAUUAAGUACUCCGCCUGAGUAGUACGUACGCAAGUAUGAAACUUAAAGGAAUUGACGGGACUCCGCACAAGCGGUGGAUCAUGUUGUUUAAUUCGAAGAUACCCGAAAAACCUUACCAGGUCUUGACAUGUUUUUGCGAAACGGUAGUAAUAUCGUAGAGGUUAUCAGAAACACAGGUGGUGCAUGGUUGUCGUCAGCUCGUGUCGUGAGAUGUUAGGUUAAGUCCUAAAACGAGCGAAACCCUUAUCGUUAGUUGCCAGCACGUUAUGGUGGGGACUUUAACGAGACUGCCAGUGAUAAACUGGAGGAAGGUGAGGAUCACGUCAAAUCAACCUGCCCCUUAUGACCUGGGCUACAAACGUGAUACAAUGGCUGUUACAAAGGGUAGCUGAAACGUAAUUCUUGGCCAAUCCCCAAAAACAGUCUCAGUCCGGAUUGAAGUCUGCAACUCG
This 1153-nucleotide ribosomal RNA is filed under the name Candidatus Phytoplasma citri. RNAcentral's name for it is "bacterial SSU rRNA". It matches the Rfam family "Bacterial small subunit ribosomal RNA", at positions 161 to 1314 of the family's 1533-position model. Lineage: Bacteria; Bacillati; Mycoplasmatota; Mollicutes; Acholeplasmatales; Acholeplasmataceae. The record is from RNAcentral.